GUGCCAGCAGCCGCGGUAAUACGAGGGGGGCGAGCGUUGUUCGGAAUUAUUGGGCGUAAAGGGUGCGUAGGCGGUUUGGUAAGUCUUGUGUGAAAUCUAUGGGCUCAACUCAUAGACUGCACGAGAAACUGCCGGGCUUGAGUAUGGGAGAGGUGAGUGGAAUUCCUGGUGUAGCGGUGAAAUGCGUAGAUAUCAGGAGGAACACCUGUGGCGAAAGCGGCUCACUGGACCAUAACUGACGCUGAUGCACGAAAGCUAGGGGAGCAAACAGGAUUAGAAACCCUAGUAGUCCAAU
Molecule: ribosomal RNA, 295 nt
Filed under: uncultured bacterium
Lineage: Bacteria
Description: partial 16S ribosomal RNA
Rfam family: Bacterial small subunit ribosomal RNA
Source: RNAcentral